CAGGACAGGGCCAGCAUAAUCCAUGACAGUGUGACCUUUUCCCACACCACCCCUUCCAUUUGCCUCAACCUUGACCUGAAGGGAUGACCUAUAGA
RNAcentral lists this small RNA (95 nucleotides) under Phascolarctos cinereus (koala). RNAcentral's name for it is "TUC338 (ENSPCIG00000018495.2)". Lineage: Eukaryota; Metazoa; Chordata; Mammalia; Diprotodontia; Phascolarctidae. The record is from RNAcentral.